Lutra lutra (Eurasian river otter) is the source of this 161-nucleotide long non-coding RNA. RefSeq lists it as uncharacterized. The transcript has 3 exons. The record is from RefSeq and is a predicted model, not a curated record. NCBI's taxonomy places the organism in Eukaryota, Metazoa, Chordata, Mammalia, Carnivora, Mustelidae.
GUUAACUAUUUGCUUUUCCUUGAGGGCAGCCAGGGGUGGCUGAGGAAUGUCACACCUAUUACGGAGGGGAAGCGGGUGCAGAGGGGGUGCAAGGUACCAGCUUUUGCUUUGUCCUCAGCCAGCCUCCUGUUCCCUCAUCAAUCUGGCCUGAGUGGGGUCUG